UCGAACGGGACUUAUCUGAGAUUACAUCAAGGGUAAGUUCAGUGGCAGACGGGUGAGUAUCACAUAGGUGAUCUACCCUUGAGAGGGAAAUAACCCCGAGAAAUCGGGGCUAAUGUCCCAUAAGACCACGGCCUUUCCUACGAAAGGCUGGGGCCAAAGCUCCGCAAGGGGCACUUGAGGAUGAGCCUGUGUCCUAUCAGCUAGUUGGUGAGGUAAUGGCCCACCAAGGCUAAGACGGGUAUCCGACCUGAAAGGGUGACCGGACACACUGGAACUGAGACACGGUCCAGACUCCUACGGGAGGCAGCAGUGGGGAAUUUUGGACAAUGGGGGCAACCCUGAUCCAGCAACGCCGCGUGAGGGAUGAAGGUUCUCGGAUUGUAAACCUCUUUUACAGGGGACGAAUCACGCCGUGAAUAACGGCGAAUGACGGUACUCUGUGAAUAAGCCACGGCUAACUACGUGCCAGCAGCCGCGGUAAUACGUAGGUGGCAAGCGUUACUCGGAAUUACUAGGCGUAAAGCGCAGGUAGGCGGUUGUGUAAGUCCGUAAUGAAAUCUCCCGGCUUAACUGGGAGGGGUUUAGGGAUACUGCAUGACUCGAGUGUGGGAGAGGUCACUGGAAUUCCUGGUGUAGCGGUGAAAUGCGUAGAGAUCAGGAGGAACACCUAUGGCGAAAGCAGGUGACUGGACCAAUACUG
RNAcentral lists this ribosomal RNA (700 nucleotides) under uncultured bacterium. RNAcentral's name for it is "bacterial SSU rRNA". It matches the Rfam family "Bacterial small subunit ribosomal RNA", at positions 62 to 742 of the family's 1533-position model. The record is from RNAcentral.